UUAAGAAAGUAAAUAAGGGCGUACGGCGAAUGCCUUGGCUCUCAGAGGCGAUGAAGGACGUGACAAGCUGCGAUAAGCUGCGGGUAGGUGCAAAUAACCUUCGAUCCGCAGAUCUCCGAAUGGGGAAACCUUUCCGGUUGAAGGCCGGAAAUCCGUCGAAAACGGAAGCUAACCUGCCGAACUGAAACAUCUUAGUAAGCAGAGGAAAAGAAAACAAUAGUGAUUCCCUAAGUAGUGGCGAGCGAACAGGGAACAGCCCAAACCGGUUUUGUUACGGCAAAGUCGGGGUUGUAGGACUGUAACGUGGACUGUAAUUUUAUAGCAGAAUAUUUCUGGAAAGCUAAACCAUAGAAGGUGAUAGUCCUGUAAGCGAAAUAGAAUUACUACCUAACAGUAUCCUGAGUACCACGGGACCGGAGAAAUCCUGUGGGAAUCUGCCAGCACCAUCUGGUAAGGCUAAAUACUACUGAGAGACCGAUAGUGAACUAGUACCGUGAGGGAAAGGUGAAAAGAACUCCUAACAGGAGAGUGAAAUAGUACCUGAAACCGUGCGCCUACAAGCGGUCGGAGUCCCGUAUAUAUGGGAUGACGGCGUGCCUUUUGCAUAAUGAGCCUACGAGUUACUCCUCUCUAGCAAGGUUAAGUGUGUUAACGCAUGAAGCCGAAGCGAAAGCAAGUCUGAAUAGGGCGAUUUAGUUAGAGGGGGUAGACGCGAAACUUUGUGAUCUACCCAUGACCAGGUUGAAGUUCCGGUAACACGGAAUGGAGGACCGAACUAGUAAACGUUGAAAAGUUUUUAGAUGAGUUGUGGGUAGGGGUGAAAGGCUAAUCAAACUGAGAGAUAGCUCGUACUCCCCGAAAUGUUUUUUGGAACAGCCUCGAGUAUAAGUGUCAUAGAGGUAGAGCUACUGAUUGGACUAGGGGGCUUCACCGCCUACCAAAUCCUGACAAACUCCGAAUGCUAUGACAUGUUCCUCGGGAGUGAGGCGCUGGGUGCUAAGGUCCGGUGCCGAGAGGGAAAGAACCCAGACCAUCAGCUAAGGUCCCCAAAUAUAUGCUAAGUUGAUCAAACGAAGUCUGAUUGCUUUGACAGCUAGGAUGUUGGCUUGGAAGCAGCCAUCCAUUUAAAGAGUGCGUAACAGCUCACUAGUCGAGCGGUCGGGCGUGGAUAAUAAUCGGGCAUAAAGCAUAUUACCGAAGCUAUGGUUCCAAAGCGUUCAGCUUUGGAAGGUAGGGGAGCAUUCCAGUCUGUGUUGAAGGUGUGUCGUAAGGCAUGCUGGAACGGCUGGAAACGAAAAUGUAGGCAUAAGUAACGAUAAGGCAGGCGAGAAACCUGCCCACCGAAAGACUAAGGUUUCCUGAUCAACGCUAAUCGGAUCAGGGUUAGUCGGGACCUAAGAUGAACCCGAAAGGGGUAGUCGAUGGACAACUGGUUAAUAUUCCAGUACUGGCAUGUACUGCGAUGGGGUGACGAAGGAGUGUAUGGCCUGCGUACUGACGGAAUAGUACGUUGAAAGGCGUAGGUAUAUCUCAAAUAGGAAAAUCCGUUUGAGAUGCUGAAGCCUGAUAGUACCGUGAGUCUUCGGACAAGCGGAUAUGGUCUGAAACAAACUUCCAAGAAAAACCUCUAAGCUUCAGGUAUUUGCCACCCGUACCGUAAACCAACACAGGUAGUCGAGGAGAGUAUCCAAAGGUGCUCGAGUGAAUCAUGGCUAAGGAACUAGGCAAAAUAGUCCUGUAACUUCGGGAGAAAGGACCCCCGUGUAAGCGGGGCGCAGAGAAGUGGCCCAGACGACUGUUUAUCAAAAACACAUGGCUUUGCAAAAUCGAAAGAUGAAGUAUAAGGCCUGACACCUGCCCGGUGCUGGAAGGUUAAGAGGAGAGGUUAUUCGUCUUUGACGGAGAAGCUUUGAAUUGAAGCCCCAGUAAACGGCGGCCGUAACUAUAACGGUCCUUAGGUAGCGAAAAUCCUUGUCGGGUAAGCUCCACCCUGCACGAAUCGUCUAACGAUCCCGGUACUGUCUCAGCCAUGAGCUCGGUGAAAUUGUAGUCGCGGUGAAGAUGCCGCGUACCCGCAACGGGACGGUAAGACCCCGUGAACCUUCACUAUAACUUAACAUUGACUUUGACUAAAUGAUGUGUAGGAUAGGUGGGAGACUGUGAAGCGGUACCGCUAGGUGUCGUGGAGUCAACCUUGAAAUACCACCCUUUAUUUAUUUGAAGCCUAAUCCCAUAAGCAAGGGAGACAGUGUUUGGUGGGUAGUUUGACUGGGGUGGUCGCCUCCAAAAGAGUAACGGAGGCUUUCAAAGGUACCCUCAGCACGUUUGGUAACCGUGCGUAGAGUGCAAUGGCAUAAGGGUGCUUGACUGUGAGACCAACAAGUCGAUCAGGUAGGAAACUAGGACAUAGUGAUCCGGUGGUUCCGCAUGGAAGGGCCAUCGCUCAAAGGAUAAAAGGUACUCCGGGGAUAACAGGCUAAUCACUCCCAAGAGCUCACAUCGACGGAGUGGUUUGGCACCUCGAUGUCGGCUCGUCACAUCCUGGGGCUGAAGAAGGUCCCAAGGGUUCGGCUGUUCGCCGAUUAAAGUGGCACGCGAGCUGGGUUCAGAACGUCGCGAGACAGUUCGGUCCCUAUCUGUUGUGGGCGUUGGAAAUUUGAGGGCACCUGACUCUAGUACGAGAGGACCGAGUUGGACAAACCUCUGGUGUAUCUGUUGUAGCGCCAGCUGCACCGCAGAGUAGCUACGUUUGGAUGAGAUAAGUGCUGAAAGCAUCUAAGCACGAAACUUAGCCCAAGAUGAGAUUUCCUUUAAGGGUCGUCGAAGACUACGACGUUGAUAGGCUACAGGUGUAAAGUCAGUAAUGACAAAGCCGAGUAGUACUAAUUACCCGUUAACUUCCUUA
RNAcentral lists this ribosomal RNA (2905 nucleotides) under Bacteroidales bacterium. Its description in RNAcentral is "23S ribosomal RNA". It matches the Rfam family "Bacterial large subunit ribosomal RNA". Lineage: Bacteria; Pseudomonadati; Bacteroidota; Bacteroidia; Bacteroidales. The record is from RNAcentral.